GAGUCUGAUCAUGGCUCAGAUUGAACGCUGGCGGCAGGCCUAACACAUGCAAGUCGAACGGUAACAGGAAACAGCUUGCUGUUUCGCUGACGAGUGGCGGACGGGUGAGUAAUGUCUGGGAAACUGCCUGAUGGAGGGGGAUAACUAUUGGAAACGGUAGCUAAUACCGCAUAACGUCGCAAGACCAAAGAGGGGGACCUUCGGGCCUCUUGCCAUCAGAUGUGCCCAGAUGGGAUUAGCUAGUAGGUGGGGUAACGGCUCACCUAGGCGACGAUCCCUAGCUGGUCUGAGAGGAUGACCAGCCACACUGGAACUGAGACACGGUCCAGACUCCUACGGGAGGCAGCAGUGGGGAAUAUUGCACAAUGGGCGCAAGCCUGAUGCAGCCAUGCCGCGUGUAUGAAGAAGGCCUUCGGGUUGUAAAGUACUUUCAGCGGGGAGGAAGGGAGUAAAGUUAAUACCUUUGCUCAUUGACGUUACCCGCAGAAGAAGCACCGGCUAACUCCGUGCCAGCAGCCGCGGUAAUACGGAGGGUGCAAGCGUUAAUCGGAAUUACUGGGCGUAAAGCGCACGCAGGCGGUUUGUUAAGUCAGAUGUGAAAUCCCCGGGCUCAACCUGGGAACUGCAUCUGAUACUGGCAAGCUUGAGUCUCGUAGAGGGGGGUAGAAUUCCAGGUGUAGCGGUGAAAUGCGUAGAGAUCUGGAGGAAUACCGGUGGCGAAGGCGGCCCCCUGGACGAAGACUGACGCUCAGGUGCGAAAGCGUGGGGAGCAAACAGGAUCAGAUACCCUGGUAGUCCACGCCGUAAACGAUGUCGACUUGGAGGUUGUGCCCUUGAGGCGUGGCUUCCGGAGCUAACGCGUUAAGUCGACCGCCUGGGGAGUACGGCCGCAAGGUUAAAACUCAAAUGAAUUGACGGGGGCCCGCACAAGCGGUGGAGCAUGUGGUUUAAUUCGAUGCAACGCGAAGAACCUUACCUGGUCUUGACAUCCACGGAAGUUUUCAGAGAUGAGAAUGUGCCUUCGGGAACCGUGAGACAGGUGCUGCAUGGCUGUCGUCAGCUCGUGUUGUGAAAUGUUGGGUUAAGUCCCGCAACGAGCGCAACCCUUAUCCUUUGUUGCCAGCGGUCCGGCCGGGAACUCAAAGGAGACUGCCAGUGAUAAACUGGAGGAAGGUGGGGAUGACGUCAAGUCAUCAUGGCCCUUACGACCAGGGCUACACACGUGCUACAAUGGCGCAUACAAAGAGAAGCGACCUCGCGAGAGCAAGCGGACCUCAUAAAGUGCGUCGUAGUCCGGAUUGGAGUCUGCAACUCGACUCCAUGAAGUCGGAAUCGCUAGUAAUCGUGGAUCAGAAUGCCACGGUGAAUACGUUCCCGGGCCUUGUACACACCGCCCGUCACACCAUGGGAGUGGGUUGCAAAAGAAGUAGGUAGCUUAACCUUCGGGAGGGCGCUUACCACUUUGUGAUUCAUGACUGGGGUGAAGC
This 1487-nucleotide ribosomal RNA is filed under the name metagenome. RNAcentral describes it as "bacterial SSU rRNA". It matches the Rfam family "Bacterial small subunit ribosomal RNA". The record is from RNAcentral.